GAGGGAACUGGGGGUAUCAUUUUAGGGGUUUGGUGGGGCUGUGCUGGCAAAGCUCAUUUUUGGAGGUUCUCUCUUAGGCUUGUGUAGGGUUGUUUUUAGUUAGAUAUAUUGUAUGGGUUUAAUGAUCAAUUGGAUCCCAAGUCCUCUGUAUCAUCAGAAAUUCCUGCCUGUCCUGGUCUGCUGUGGUGCAUUCUCCUGUCUUCCUAGCAGAGAUGAAGCAACUGAUUCUCACGUCAAGUAACUGCCCAAGUCACACAAUUACUAAAAGAGCAAAC
Molecule: non-coding RNA, 275 nt
Organism: Ceratotherium simum simum (southern white rhinoceros)
Lineage: Eukaryota; Metazoa; Chordata; Mammalia; Perissodactyla; Rhinocerotidae
Source: RefSeq, a predicted model, not a curated record